GGGACAUGUACACGUUGCGGUGCAACGAUGGCAAAA
This 36-nucleotide non-coding RNA is filed under the name human gut metagenome. Its description in RNAcentral is "Selenocysteine insertion sequence 4". It matches the Rfam family "Selenocysteine insertion sequence 4". The record is from RNAcentral.